UGAGGAACAUGACCUUCGGCGGGGGAGUAGCCGGGCCCAACGGCCGGGUAAUACCGCGUACGACCAUUUGGGGUACGAUCCCCGACGUGGUGAAAGCAGCAAUGCGCCGAUGGAGUGCCUCGCGGGCCUAUCAGCUAGUUGGUGGGGGUUAACGGGCUCACCAAGGCAACGACGGGUAGCCGGCCUGAGAGGGUGACCGGCCACACUGGGACUGAGACACGGCCCAGACUCCUACGGGAGGCAGCAGUGGGGUAAA
RNAcentral lists this ribosomal RNA (256 nucleotides) under uncultured bacterium. RNAcentral's name for it is "partial 16S ribosomal RNA". It matches the Rfam family "Bacterial small subunit ribosomal RNA", at positions 118 to 363 of the family's 1533-position model. The record is from RNAcentral.